GAUGAACGCUGGCGGCGUGCCUAAUACAUGCAAGUCGAGCGAACGGACGAGAAGCUUGCUUCUCUGAUGUUAGCGGCGGACGUGUGAGUAACACGUGGAUAACCUACCUAUAAGACUGGGAUAACUUCGGGAAACCGUAGCUGAUACCGGAUAAUAUUUUGAACCGCAUUGUUCAAAAGUUAAAGACGGUCUUGCUGUCACUUAUAGAUGGAUCCGCGCUGCAUUAGCUAGUUGGUAAGUUAACGGCUUACCAAGGCAACGAUGCAUAGCCGACCUGAGAGGGUGAUCGGCCACACUGGAACUGAGACACGGUCCAGACUCCUACGGGAGGCAGCAGUAGGGAACCUUCCGCAAUGGGCGAACGCCUGCCGGAGCAACGCCGCGUGAGUGAUGACGGUCUUCGGAUCGUAAGACUCUGUUAUUAGGGAAGAACAUAUGUGUAAGUAACUGUGCACAUCUUGACGGUACCUAGUCAGACAGCCACGGCUAACUACGUG
RNAcentral lists this ribosomal RNA (497 nucleotides) under uncultured bacterium. RNAcentral's name for it is "partial 16S ribosomal RNA". It matches the Rfam family "Bacterial small subunit ribosomal RNA", at positions 28 to 507 of the family's 1533-position model. The record is from RNAcentral.